This 114-nucleotide small nuclear RNA is filed under the name Myotis lucifugus (little brown bat). The record is from RNAcentral. Lineage: Eukaryota; Metazoa; Chordata; Mammalia; Chiroptera; Vespertilionidae.
GCUGCUCGCUUGGGCAGCUCAUGCACUAAAACUGGAACGAGAAAUACGGAGAUUAGCAUGGCCCCUGCGCAAGGGUGUCGGGCGGACGUAUGAAGUGAAGUGUUUCCUAUUUAA